This 348-nucleotide long non-coding RNA is filed under the name Equus caballus (horse). RNAcentral describes it as "lncRNA (ENSECAG00000049201.1)". The record is from RNAcentral. Lineage: Eukaryota; Metazoa; Chordata; Mammalia; Perissodactyla; Equidae.
GGAGAAAUCUCUAGGUGUGUACUGCAAAACUUUAUGCUUACUUAGCCUUAUCCUGUCCUUUUUAUUCUUUUUAAGGCAAAGACUUAAUAAAUAAGUCAAAGAGAUGUUCAUACUACUGCCUGACCAAAAAAAAAUGAAAGCAAUAAUAAAUAUGCUGAGGACAAAAUCAGGAUUUCUCCCCCCAAAAACAAGGACAACUCAAGGAUCAAACUCAAAAAAGCAGAAUUUAAGGUGUAUGAUGUAGAAUACGUCCCUUGCCCUCUCUUGGCCUCAAUUUCUUCACAUGUGGUGGGAAGUAAUUUAAAGAAAACGGCAUAGAAUUUGACUUUAUUAUAACCGGAUGUGCAC